GUGACGGUAGCUCAAUUGGUAGAGCCCCGGAUUGUGAUUCCGGCCGUUGCGAGAUCAUCCCUCGUCCGUCACCCCA
RNAcentral lists this transfer RNA (76 nucleotides) under Aeromonas phage Aes012. Its description in RNAcentral is "tRNA-His". It matches the Rfam family "tRNA". From Rfam's summary of the family: Transfer RNA (tRNA) molecules are approximately 80 nucleotides in length. Their secondary structure includes four short double-helical elements and three loops (D, anti-codon, and T loops). The record is from RNAcentral. Lineage: Duplodnaviria; Heunggongvirae; Uroviricota; Caudoviricetes; Pantevenvirales; Straboviridae.